UUUAACAGAACCCUUCGGGGCGAAGAUAAAGUGGAUUAGCGGCGGACGGGUGAGUAACACGUGAGUAACCUGCCUUAGACAUUGGGAUAGCCUCGGGAAACCGGGAUUAAUACCAAAUAAAAUCAUAAUGACACAUGUCAUAACGAUCAAAACUCCGGUGGUCUAAGAUGGACUCGCGUCCCAUUAGCUAGUUGGUAGAGUAAAAGCCUACCAAGGCGACGAUGGGUAGCCGGCCUGAGAGGGUGAACGGCCACAUUGGAACUGAGAAACGGUCCAAACUCCUACGGGAGGCAGCAGCGGGGAAUAUUGCACAAUGGAGGGAACUCUGAUGCAGCGACGCCGCGUGAACGAAGAAGGCUUUCGAGCCGUAAAGUUCUUUUAUAUGGGAAGAUAAUGACGGUACCAUAAGAAAAAGCCCCGGCUAACUACGUGCCAGCAGCCGCGGUAAUACGUAGGGGGCUAGCGUUGUCCGGAAUCACUGGGCGUAAAGGGUUCGCAGGCGGAAAUGCAAGUCAGAUGUAAAAGGCAGCAGCUUAACUACUGUAAGCAUUUGAAACUGCAUAUCUUGAGAAGAGUAGAGGUAAGUGGAAUUUUUAGUGUAGCGGUGAAAUGCGUAGAUAUUAAAAAGAAUACCGGUGGCGAAGGCGACUUACUGGGCUCAUUCUGACGCUGAGGAACGAAAGCGUGGGUAGCAAACAGGAUUA
This 704-nucleotide ribosomal RNA is filed under the name uncultured Eubacteriales bacterium. RNAcentral's name for it is "bacterial SSU rRNA". It matches the Rfam family "Bacterial small subunit ribosomal RNA", at positions 67 to 780 of the family's 1533-position model. The record is from RNAcentral. Lineage: Bacteria; Bacillati; Bacillota; Clostridia; Eubacteriales.